AUAAAACUAAAUAAUAAAUUAAAUAUAAUUUAAAAAAUAAUUUAAAUAUUAAUAUUUUUAUUAAAAUAAUUUGCUUUUAUGGUGGAAAAGUUGUCCAAAAUAAUAAGAGGAAGAAAAAAAUCAAUAAUUAAUUAGCGUUGGGGAAAAAUUAUUCAGGUGCGGAUCAUUAAGAUGUAAUUACGAUAUAAGAAUCCCGUUGAUUUGGAUAAUUAUAGUCAUCCAUAUAUUGGCUUCUAUUAAGAACUUUGAAUGAUUCGUGGAGAACAACAGAUAUGUCAAAUAACGCAAAAAGAACAAUUAAAUUAAGUACCAAAACGUAAUGAGAAAUGUACAACAUAUGAAGCNUUUUUUUUCUCUGCUUGACGGUUGGGAAUGGGGAGUUUCUUUCUCCUUUUUUCACGAGAAUAAAACUUGAUUGUACUAAUUCACUUUAACAAUAAAACUAAAUAAUAAAUUAAAUAUAAUUUAAAAAAUAAUUUAAAUAUUAAUAUUUUUAUUAAAAUAAUUUGCUUUUAUGGUGGAAAAGUUGUCCAAAAUAAUAAGAGGAAGAAAAAAAUCAAUAAUUAAUUAGCGUUGGGGAAAAAUUAUUCAGGUGCGGAUCAUUAAGAUGUAAUUACGAUAUAAGAAUCCCGUUGAUUUGGAUAAUUAUAGUCAUCCAUAUAUUGGCUUCUAUUAAGAACUUUGAAUGAUUCGUGGAGAACAACAGAUAUGUCAAAUAACGCAAAAAGAACAAUUAAAUUAAGUACCAAAACGUAAUGAGAAAUGUACAACAUAUGAAGCGGGUAAAUUAUCUCGUGACACAGAUGACAACUCCACGCGUUAAUUCUUUUCGUACAUAUUUUUUUAAUAUUUUUUUAUAAAUUUAUCGGGUUAAUUAUGAUUAAUGAUGAUGAUGUUGAUG
This 901-nucleotide long non-coding RNA is filed under the name Ananas comosus (pineapple). Its description in RNAcentral is "long non-coding RNA (ACOM_LNC018615)". The record is from RNAcentral. Lineage: Eukaryota; Viridiplantae; Streptophyta; Magnoliopsida; Poales; Bromeliaceae.